This 445-nucleotide ribosomal RNA is filed under the name uncultured bacterium. Its description in RNAcentral is "partial 16S ribosomal RNA". It matches the Rfam family "Bacterial small subunit ribosomal RNA", at positions 354 to 796 of the family's 1533-position model. The record is from RNAcentral.
GUGAGGAAUAUUGGUCAAUGGACGAGAGUCUGAACCAGCCAAGUCGCGUGAAGGAAGACGGUUCUAUGAAUUGUAAACUUCUUUUGUGCAGGAAUAAAGUGGGUUACGUGUAACCUUUUGUAUGUACUGUACGAAUAAGGAUCGGCUAACUCCGUGCCAGCAGCCGCGGUAAUACGGAGGAUCCGAGCGUUAUCCGGAUUUAUUGGGUUUAAAGGGUGCGUAGGUGGAUUGAUAAGUCAGCGGUGAAAGUUUGCAGCUUAACUGUAAAAUUGCAGUUGAAACUGUCGGUCUUGAGUGCAAAUGAGUUAGGCGGAAUGUGUUGUGUAGCGGUGAAAUGCUUAGAUAUAACACAGAACUCCGAUUGCGAAGGCAGCUUACUGGGAUGCAACUGACACUGAUGCACGAAAGCGUGGGUAUCAAACAGGAUUAGAUACCCUGGUAGUCC